UAACGACUCUCGGCAACGGAUAUCUCGGCUCUCGCAUCGAUGAAGAACGUAGCGAAAUGCGAUACUUGGUGUGAAUUGCAGAAUCCCGUGAACCAUCGAGUCUUUGAACGCAAGUUGCGCCCCAAGUCGUUAGGCUGAGGGCACGUCUGCCUGGGUGUCACG
This 162-nucleotide ribosomal RNA is filed under the name Philotheca conduplicata. RNAcentral's name for it is "5.8S ribosomal RNA". It matches the Rfam family "5.8S ribosomal RNA". From Rfam's summary of the family: 5.8S ribosomal RNA (5.8S rRNA) is a component of the large subunit of the eukaryotic ribosome. Lineage: Eukaryota; Viridiplantae; Streptophyta; Magnoliopsida; Sapindales; Rutaceae. The record is from RNAcentral.